UUGGAAUCUUUCUGACGCCGUGACUUCUUACUACUGUAACUUCACGGGCGUAAGGUGCGACGGUCAAGGACUUGUCACCGAUCUUGAUCUUUCCGGUUUGUCACUCUCCGGGAUUUUUCCUGAUGGGAUUUGCUCUUUCCUCCCAAACCUUCGUGUUCUUCGUCUCUCUCGCAACCAUCUGAAUAGAAGCAGCAGCUUCCUCAACGACAUCCCUGACUGUUCUCUUCUUCAAGAGCUGAACAUGAGCUCUCUCUAUCUCACAGCCACACUCCCUGAUUUCUCACCGAUGAAAUCUCUGAGAGUCAUCGACAUGUCUUGGAACCACUUCACCGGUAGCUUCCCACUUUCGAUAUUCAAUCUCACCGAUUUAGAGUAUCUCAAUUUCAACGAGAACCCUGAGUUCGAUCUCUGGACUCUACCGGAUUAUGUGUCCAAACUCACGAAGCUCACACACAUGCUCCUGAUGACGUGUAUGCUCCACGGUAACAUCCCAAGAUCCAUUGGGGAUAUGACUUCCCUUGUUGAUCUCGAACUAAGUGGAAAUUUCCUCUCCGGCGAGAUUCCAAAAGAAAUCGGGAAUCUUUCCAACCUGAGGCAGCUUGAGUUGUACUAUAACUAUCACUUAACCGGCAGUAUACCUGACGAAAUCGGUAAUCUCAAAAAUCUCACGGACUUGGAUAUUUCCGUCAGCAAGUUAACCGGAAGAAUACCGGAAUCAAUAUGCAGUCUUCCAAAACUCCGAGUGCUUCAGCUUUACAACAACAGCUUAACCGGUGAGAUUCCCAAGUCGCUUGGUAACUCAAGAACCUUAAAGAUCUUGUCUCUCUACGACAACUACUUGACCGGUGAGCUCCCGCCAAAUCUCGGGUCUUCCUCGCCUAUGAUCGCUCUUGAUGUUUCGGAAAAUCGCCUCUCUGGUCCACUUCCGAGCCAAGUUUGCAAAUCCGGUAAGCUUUUGUACUUUCUUGUACUACAAAACCGGUUCUCUGGCUCGAUCCCUGCGACUUAUGGGAGGUGCAAGACUCUUAUCCGGUUCCGUGUUGCGAGCAACCGCCUCGUGGGAACUAUACCCCAAGAAGUCACGUCUCUACCUCAUGUCUCCAUCAUCGACUUGGCUUACAACUUCUUAUCGGGUCCAAUACCUAAUUCCAUCGGAAACGCUUGGAAUUUGUCAGAGCUGUUUAUGCAGGGUAAUAAAAUCUCCGGUGUUAUACCUUCCGAAAUAUCCCAUGCCACAAAUCUUGUGAAGCUUGAUCUCAGCAACAAUCAACUGACUGGUCCAAUACCUUCAGAGAUUGGAAGACUCCGACGACUAAACUUGCUUGUUCUGCAAGGAAACCACCUUGAUUCAUCAAUCCCUGAGACUGAGUCCCUUUUGUUUACAAUUUACUAAUUUAAUGUUUUUUAACACUGACUAUAUUAUAGCAAUCGCUCAUGGAAGGCUGUGAGCGAUGUCUAUCCGAGAAGAAAAAAACUCAAGCAAAAAAAAAUAUGUCGAGACAAGAGCGAGGUUCUUGGACAGGUGAUCGUGCACUCUUUAGUAUCAGAUUCAGUGAUAUUUCAACUCUUCUUUUGUGAUAAAAACAAGAAAUUAAAGUAAAGCUUCGGAGGUAUAAAGUUGGCUACAUACACCUCUACAUUAUUCUCCAUAAUAAGUUAGUGGGUAUAAUCAUAAAGCUUCUUUAUCUAAAGGAAACAUAUCUAUUCUCCCUUUCUUCAAUUAUAUUUAUUUAAAAAUCUAUCUUUUUCGUAAAAUCCAUCUAUCUGAUUCUGAUCGUAUACAGAAAAACUUGAACCCGUCUUUCGUUUUUAUAAGGUCGCAUUAAUUUCAGUCCUUCAACUCGUAAGCUCUUUUUAUUUCCCCUCAUUUAUCCUCCCAGACCCAAAAGUUCUCUCUUUCUUGCGUCCUAAGUUUGCUCCUGCUGCUUACUUUAGAGCUUUUCCUGAAAUGCUUUUCAGACUUUUCCCAGUUUUUGUUCUUCUCAUAUUUUGCUUCAACAGCAACCAAUUAUGGGGCUUGAUGACUUCCAACCAACAAUCACAAUUCUUCAAGCUUAUGAAAAACUCUCUUUCCAGCGAUGCUUUGUCCUCUUGGAAUCUUUCUGACGCCGUGACUUCUUACUACUGUAACUUCACGGGCGUAAGGUGCGACGGUCAAGGACUUGUCACCGAUCUUGAUCUUUCCGGUUUGUCACUCUCCGGGAUUUUUCCUGAUGGGAUUUGCUCUUUCCUCCCAAACCUUCGUGUUCUUCGUCUCUCUCGCAACCAUCUGAAUAGAAGCAGCAGCUUCCUCAACGACAUCCCUGACUGUUCUCUUCUUCAGGAGCUGAACAUGAGCUCUCUCUAUCUCACAGCCACACUCCCUGAUUUCUCACCGAUGAAAUCUCUG
Molecule: long non-coding RNA, 2389 nt
Filed under: Brassica napus (rape)
Lineage: Eukaryota; Viridiplantae; Streptophyta; Magnoliopsida; Brassicales; Brassicaceae
Description: long non-coding RNA (BNAP_LNC008532)
Source: RNAcentral